Molecule: long non-coding RNA, 1207 nt
Organism: Oncorhynchus tshawytscha (Chinook salmon)
Lineage: Eukaryota; Metazoa; Chordata; Actinopteri; Salmoniformes; Salmonidae
Source: Ensembl
GGGGGCGCUGUGUCCGUAUAUAUACUGAUAAGGGGGCGCUGUGUCGUUUGUAUAUAUACUGAUAAGGGGGCGCUGUGUCGUUUGUAUACUGAUAGGGGCGCUGUGUCGUUUGUAUAUAUACUGAUAGGGGGCGCUGUGUCGUUCGUAUAUAUACUGAUAGGGGGCGCUGUGUCGAAGUCACCGUACCGCCAUCUUGGCACUCCCUCACCAUUUGUAAAACAUCUAUUUUAAUUUAUUACAGACACCUGUAAGAGUGUAAAGUGACCCGGUGCAGAAAGCCUAGCGGUUAAGCGCGUUGAGCCAAUAACCGAAAGGUUGCUGGUUCGAAUCCUCGACCGGGCAAGGUGUAAAAAAAUAAAUAAAAUCUGCCGUUCUCCCUUUGAACAAGUCAGUUAACCCCCAACAACAACUGCUCCCCGGGUACCGAUGUCGUGGAUUAAGGCAGCCCCCCCCCCACCUCCCUGAUUCAGAGGGGUUGGGUUAAGUGCUGAAGACAGUUCAAUUCAAUGCAUUGUUGUGCAAUGUAUCCCCAACCAACUGACUAGGUAUCCCCAACCAACUGACUAGGUAUCCCCAACCAACUGACGAGGUAUCCCCAAGCAACUGACGAGGUAUCCCCUUUGUGUGACAGAGAGAAGUGUUUGCAGUGCUGCUGGUGGAAACGUCAUUUCGCCUAGUCAUCCUUUUAAAGCAGCCUUCAGGUACGGGUGUUAAUGGUGUCAGGGUAAAUGUAUAAUUUCAUUAAUUACUGGAAUUGAUUUGUACAUCUUACUGUAGAAAUUACCAGGCCUACUGUACAUCUUACUGUAGAAAUGACCAGGCCUACUGUACAUCUUACUGUAGAAAUGAUCAGGCCUACUGAACAUCUUACUGUAGAAAUGAUCAGGCCUACUGUACAUCUUACUGUAGAAAUGAUCAGGCCUACUGUACAUCUUACUGUAGAAAUGAUCAGGCCUACUGUACAUCUUACUGUAGAAAUGAUCAGGCCUACUGUACAUCUUACUGUAGAAAUGACCAGGCCUACUGUACAUCUUACUGUAGAAAUGACCAGGCCUACUGUACAUCUUACUGUAGAAAUGACCAGGCCUACUGUACAUCUUACUGUAGAAAUGAUCAGGCCUACUGUACAUCUUACUGUAGAAAUGACCAGGCCUACUGUACAUCUUACUGUAGAAAUGAUCAGGCCUACUGUACAUCUUACUGUAGA